AUUCCAGCUCCAGUAGCGUAUAUUAAAGUUGUUGCAGUUAAAAAGCUCGUAGUUGGAUUUCUGGCUUUAUAGAACUGACCCGCCACGUUAGUGUGUGAGUGUCGGCUUCUAUAUGCCAUCCUUCCACAGAACGUUUCUACUCUUGAUUGAGCCGGAUUCGCAAUGUGGAACUUUUACUUUGAAAAAAUUAGAGUGUUCAAAGCAGGCUUACGCUAUGAAUACAUUAGCAUGGAAUAAUAAUCUAGGACUUUGGUUCUAUUUUGCUGGUUUCUAGAACUGGAGUAAUGAUUGAUAGGGAUAGUUGGGGGUGCUAGUAUUCAGCGGCCAGAGGUGAAAUUCUUGGAUUCGCUGAAGACUAACUUAUGCGAAAGCAUUCACCAAGGAUGUCUUCAUUA
This 395-nucleotide ribosomal RNA is filed under the name Marimonadida sp. RNAcentral describes it as "partial small subunit ribosomal RNA". It matches the Rfam family "Eukaryotic small subunit ribosomal RNA", at positions 582 to 975 of the family's 1831-position model. Lineage: Eukaryota; Cercozoa; Imbricatea; Marimonadida. The record is from RNAcentral.